GACAGAGGGUGCAAACGUUGUUCGGAAUUACUGGGCGUAAAGCGCGUGUAGGCUGCUCGGAAAGUCGGAUGUGAAAGCCCUGGGCUUAACCUAGGAAGUGCAUUCGAAACUUCCGAGCUGGAGUUCUGGAGAGGAAGGCGGAAUUCUCGGUGUAGAGGUGAAAUUCGUAGAUAUCGAGAGGAACACCGGUGGCGAAGGCGGCCUUCUGGACAGUGACUGACGCUGAGACGGCGAAAGCGUGGGGAGCAAACAGG
RNAcentral lists this ribosomal RNA (254 nucleotides) under uncultured bacterium. RNAcentral's name for it is "partial 16S ribosomal RNA". It matches the Rfam family "Bacterial small subunit ribosomal RNA", at positions 524 to 776 of the family's 1533-position model. The record is from RNAcentral.